UGUGUAGGCGGUCCCCUAAGUUUGGUGUGAAAUCUCCCGGCUCAACCGGGAGGGUGCGCCGAAAACUGGAGGACUAGAGUGCGGGAUGGGAGAGUGGAAUUCCUGGUGUAGCGGUGAAAUGCGUAGAUAUCAGGAGGAACACCGGUGGUGUAGACGGCUCUCUGGACCGUAACUGACGCUGAGACACGAAAGCGUGGGUAGCAAACAGGAUUAGAUACCCCGGUAGUCCACGCCCUAAACGAUGCAUAUUUGGUGUAGGUCAUUCAGUUGAUCUGUGCCGGAGCUAACGCGUUAAAUAUGCCGCCUGGGGAGUACAGUCGCAAGGCUGAA
Molecule: ribosomal RNA, 330 nt
Filed under: uncultured bacterium
Lineage: Bacteria
Description: bacterial SSU rRNA
Rfam family: Bacterial small subunit ribosomal RNA
Source: RNAcentral